CUGCCACUCCUGCUUUUCUCCUUGAAUCUGACCCACCCAUUUUAAUCUCCCCGAAUGAACCUAUCGAUUUUGAUCUAAUUACCCGCUCCCCCAUCCACCCAAUCGUUUCAUUUUCAUACCCUACACUUGAAACACUCGAUACUUUCCUGUUUCUUCUGCUUCCUCCUCUAAUCGUCUUGUUAGCGAUAACAACCUCUUCAUUUGAAUCAAUCACCGCCUCCAAUGUCCGCGAUUCUUCCACCAUUCCCACGCGCCUCCUCAAACGAUUCCAUAUGUGCUGCGCGUGAACUCUCUUGCUCACAAUUUUCAAUCCCUCAACUAUCUCUGCCAUUCCGGGACGCUUCUCCGCCGUGGAUCUCACACACCUUGCCGCCAGAAUUGCCAGAUUCUUGAUCACUCCCGGGUCGACGGGCGACCCGAUUCUAUUGUCGCAAAUAGCCGAGAAAUCUCCGCGCUUUAUCAACGGAACCGCCCAGUCGCCUAUAGAUGGAGGGCUGUAGUUGACAUCAAUUGCAUUUCU
Molecule: unclassified non-coding RNA, 520 nt
Filed under: Hevea brasiliensis (rubber tree)
Lineage: Eukaryota; Viridiplantae; Streptophyta; Magnoliopsida; Malpighiales; Euphorbiaceae
Source: RNAcentral